Molecule: ribosomal RNA, 403 nt
Filed under: uncultured bacterium
Lineage: Bacteria
Description: bacterial SSU rRNA
Rfam family: Bacterial small subunit ribosomal RNA
Source: RNAcentral
UAUUGCACAAUGGGCGCAAGCCUGAUGCAGCCAUGCCGCGUGUGUGAAGAAGGCCUUCGGGUUGUAAAGCACUUUCAGUCAGGAGGAAAGGUUAGUAGUUAAUACCUGCUAGCUGUGACGUUACUGACAGAAGAAGCACCGGCUAACUCCGUGCCAGCAGCCGCGGUAAUACGGAGGGUGCGAGCGUUAAUCGGAAUUACUGGGCGUAAAGCGUACGCAGGCGGUUUGUUAAGCGAGAUGUGAAAGCCCCGGGCUCAACCUGGGAACUGCAUUUCGAACUGGCAAACUAGAGUGUGAUAGAGGGUGGUAGAAUUUCAGGUGUAGCGGUGAAAUGCGUAGAGAUCUGAAGGAAUACCGAUGGCGAAGGCAGCCACCUGGGUCAACACUGACGCUCAUUACGAAA